This 455-nucleotide ribosomal RNA is filed under the name uncultured bacterium. RNAcentral's name for it is "bacterial SSU rRNA". It matches the Rfam family "Bacterial small subunit ribosomal RNA", at positions 29 to 526 of the family's 1533-position model. The record is from RNAcentral.
AACGAACGCUGGCGGCAGGCCUAACACAUGCAAGUCGAACGAACCUUUUAGGUGAGUGGCGCACGGGUGCGUAACACGUGGGAAUAUACACUUCGGUAAGGAACAACACAGAGAAAUUUGUGCUAAUACCUUAUAAUGACUCCGGUCCAAAGAUUUAUCGCCGAAGGAUUUAGCCCGCGCUAGAUUAGUUUGUUGGUGAGGUAAGAGCUCACCAAGACUACGAUCUAUAGCUGGUCUUAGAGGAUGAUCAGCCACACUGGAACUGAGACACGGUCCAGACUCCUACGGGAGGCAGCAGUGAGGAAUAUUGGACAAUGGGGGCAACCCUGAUCCAGCCAUGCCGCGUAGAAUGAAGAAGGCCUUAGGGUUGUAAAAUUCUUUCAGAUGCGAAGAUAAUGACGGUACCAUCAGAAGAAGCUUCCGGCUAAAUUACGUGCCAGCAGCCGCGGUAAUGU